GAUGAACGCUAGCGGCAGGCCUAACACAUGCAAGUCGAGGGGCAGCACGUCUUCGGAUGGUGGCGACCGGCGCACGGGUGCGUAACGCGUAUGCAACCUACCUCUUACAGUGGGAUAGCCCAGAGAAAUUUGGAUUAAUACCGCAUAGUAUACAGAUUCAGCAUUGGGACUGUAUUAAACAUUUAUGGGUAAGAGAUGGGCAUGCGUUCUAUUAGUUAGUUGGAGUGGUAACGGCACCCCAAGACAGCGAUAGAUAGGGGCCCUGAGAGGGGGAUCCCCCACACUGGUACUGAGACACGGACCAGACCUCGUACGGGAGCAGCAGUGAGGAAUAG
This 335-nucleotide ribosomal RNA is filed under the name uncultured bacterium. Its description in RNAcentral is "bacterial SSU rRNA". It matches the Rfam family "Bacterial small subunit ribosomal RNA", at positions 28 to 364 of the family's 1533-position model. The record is from RNAcentral.